RNAcentral lists this ribosomal RNA (745 nucleotides) under uncultured bacterium. RNAcentral describes it as "bacterial SSU rRNA". It matches the Rfam family "Bacterial small subunit ribosomal RNA", at positions 33 to 773 of the family's 1533-position model. The record is from RNAcentral.
ACGCUGGCGGCAGGCCUAACACAUGCAAGUCGAGCGGUAGAGAGAAGCUUGCUUCUCUUGAGAGCGGCGGACGGGUGAGUAAUGCCUAGGAAUCUGCCUGGUAGUGGGGGAUAACGUUCGGAAACGGACGCUAAUACCGCAUACGUCCUACGGGAGAAAGCAGGGGACCUUCGGGCCUUGCGCUAUCAGAUGAGCCUAGGUCGGAUUAGCUAGUUGGUGGGGUAAUGGCUCACCAAGGCGACGAUCCGUAACUGGUCUGAGAGGAUGAUCAGUCACACUGGAACUGAGACACGGUCCAGACUCCUACGGGAGGCAGCAGUGGGGAAUAUUGGACAAUAGGCGAAAGCCUGAUCCAGCCAUGCCGCGUGUGUGAAGAAGGUCUUCGGAUUGUAAAGCACUUUAAGUUGGGAGGAAGGGUUGUAGAUUAAUACUCUGCAAUUUUGACGUUACCGACAGAAUAAGCACCGGCUAACUCUGUGCCAGCAGCCGCGGUAAUACAGAGGGUGCAAGCGUUAAUCGGAAUUACUGGGCGUAAAGCGCGCGUAGGUGGUUAGUUAAGUUGGAUGUGAAAUCCCCGGGCUCAACCUGGGAACUGCAUUCAAAACUGACUGACUAGAGUAUGGUAGAGGGUGGUGGAAUUUCCUGUGUAGCGGUGAAAUGCGUAGAUAUAGGAAGGAACACCAGUGGCGAAGGCGACCACCUGGACUGAUACUGACACUGAGGUGCGAAAGCGUGGGGAGCAAAC